This 592-nucleotide ribosomal RNA is filed under the name fungal sp. Its description in RNAcentral is "eukaryotic LSU rRNA". It matches the Rfam family "Eukaryotic large subunit ribosomal RNA", at positions 47 to 658 of the family's 3401-position model. The record is from RNAcentral. Lineage: Eukaryota; Fungi.
CAAACGGAGGAAAGGAAACCAACAGGGAUUGCCUUAGUAGCGGCGAGUGAAGCGGCAAAAGCUCAAAUUUGAAAUCUGGCGCCUUCGGUGUCCGAGUUGUAAUUUGAAGAUUGUAACCUUGGGGUUGGCUCUUGUCUAUGUUUCUUGGAACAGGACGUCACAGAGGGUGAGAAUCCCGUGCGAUGAGAUGCCCAAUUCUAUGUAAGGUGCUUUCGAAGAGUCGAGUUGUUUGGGAAUGCAGCUCUAAGUGGGUGGUAAAUUCCAUCUAAAGCUAAAUAUUGGCGAGAGACCGAUAGCGAACAAGUACAGUGAUGGAAAGAUGAAAAGAACUUUGAAAAGAGAGUGAAAAAGUACGUGAAAUUGUUGAAAGGGAAGGGUUUGAGAUCAGACUCGAUAUUUUGUGAGCCUUGCCUUCGUGGCGGGGUGACCCGCAGCUUAUCGGGCCAGCAUCGGUUUGGGCGGUAGGAUAAUGGCGUAGGAAUGUGACUUUACUUCGGUGAAGUGUUAUAGCCUGCGUUGAUGCUGCCUGCCUAGACCGAGGACUGCGAUUUUAUCAAGGAUGCUGGCAUAAUGAUCCCAAACCGCCCGCGAA